This 176-nucleotide ribosomal RNA is filed under the name uncultured Flavobacterium sp. RNAcentral's name for it is "16S ribosomal RNA". It matches the Rfam family "Bacterial small subunit ribosomal RNA", at positions 337 to 510 of the family's 1533-position model. The record is from RNAcentral. Lineage: Bacteria; Pseudomonadati; Bacteroidota; Flavobacteriia; Flavobacteriales; Flavobacteriaceae.
UCCUACGGGAGGCAGCAGUGAGGAAUAUUGGACAAUGGGCGCAAGCCUGAUCCAGCCAUGCCGCGUGCAGGAAGACGGCCCUAUGGGUUGUAAACUGCUUUUGUACGGGAAGAAACACCCCCUCGUGAGGGGGCUUGACGGUACCGUAAGAAUAAGGAUCGGCUAACUCCGUGCCA